Molecule: ribosomal RNA, 468 nt
Filed under: uncultured bacterium
Lineage: Bacteria
Description: partial 16S ribosomal RNA
Rfam family: Bacterial small subunit ribosomal RNA
Source: RNAcentral
GACGAACGCUGGCGGCGUGCUUAACACAUGCAAGUCGAACGGAAAGGCCCUGCUUUUGUUGGGUGCUCGAGUGGCGAACGGGUGAGUAACACGUGAGUAACCUGCCCUUGACUUUGGGAUAACUUUAGGAAACUGGGGCUAAUACCGGAUAGGAGCUCCUGCUGCAUGUUGGGGGUUGGAAAGUGUCGGCGGUUGGGGAUGGACUCGCGGCUUAUCCGCUUGUUGGUGGGGUAGUGGCGUACCAAGGCUUUGAAGGGUAGCCGGCCUGAGAGGGUGACCGGCCACAUGGGGCCUGAGAUACGGACCAGACUCCUACGGGACGCAGCAGUGGGGAAUAUUGCACAAUGGGCGGAAGCCUGAUGCAGCAACGCCGCGUGCGGGAUGACGGCCUUCGGGUUGUAAACCGCUUUCGCCUGUGACGAAGCGUGAGUGACGGUAAUGGGUAAGGAAGCACCGGCUAACUACGUG